Grus americana (Whooping crane) is the source of this 322-nucleotide long non-coding RNA. RefSeq lists it as uncharacterized. The transcript is spliced from 3 exons. Lineage: Eukaryota; Metazoa; Chordata; Aves; Gruiformes; Gruidae. The record is from RefSeq and is a predicted model, not a curated record.
GAGUCUGAAGCUGGAGCUCCAGGACUGUGGAGAGAAUGAACAAGAAGUACAACUGAAGAAAGCAGCAGCUCUUGUGUGCUUUUCUGCAAUAACUGCUGGGCUGCCGGUGGCUCUCGAGCAGCUUGACAUAAACGUGAUGAAAUCCCACGCUGGAGCACUGAAGUUGAGGCACUGGAUUUCUGGAGCAGCCAACUGCAGGUCUCUUAUCUGCAGGGAAGAUUUCCUCUGCCUGUUUUAAGUCACUCUACAGGGAAGAAUCAUAGUGUUGACGUGCAAUUUCAGCGCUCAACUACAAAGCAGAAUUCACGAGAAGCUUGCUGUG